Molecule: non-coding RNA, 96 nt
Organism: Mycena olivaceomarginata
Lineage: Eukaryota; Fungi; Basidiomycota; Agaricomycetes; Agaricales; Mycenaceae
Source: the annotation of a GenBank genome assembly
UCGGGUGUGGUGUAUGGUGCACGCGGUUCUUGAUUAGAUGCGUAACUGUUAUCCAAUAGUCAGCUGCAGGUCGGGGUUCGACUCCCCGCGCCCGAA